Molecule: non-coding RNA, 2033 nt
Organism: Coffea arabica (coffee)
Lineage: Eukaryota; Viridiplantae; Streptophyta; Magnoliopsida; Gentianales; Rubiaceae
Source: RefSeq, a predicted model, not a curated record
UCUAGCCACAAACUAUUCCUAUAUCCGUUUAGCCACAUUAUUUGAGCUCAUGGACAGCUAUACGUACUCGUCACUCCAGCAACAACCACCAUUAUUUGAGCUCUCGAAGAUUGUGAAUUUCUAGAGAAUCCAUACCGUGGUCCCGUGGUUAGUGCAAAUGGAAACUCACAAAGCUCAUUGCUUGAUAUUUCCAUGUGCCGCACAAGGACAUAUAAACCCUAUGCUCCAGUUUGCCAAGCGUUUGCAACAUCAAGGCACCAAAAUCACCCUUGCGACAACUAAAUUCUUCUUCAAAACCUUGCAAGACGUCUCGGGGUCAAUCGCAGUGGAGACCAUCUCUGAUGGAUAUGAUGAAGGAGCAAAUGAAGUGCCCCUUGAUACAUAUAAUGCUGUGUUUCAAAAGGUUGGCUCAGAAAAUCUUACUGAGCUAAUCUUGAAGCUUAAAGAUCUGGGUUGUCCUGUUGAUUGUAUUGUUUAUGAUGCACUCGUUUAUUGGGCUUUGGAUGUGGCCAAAAGUCUCGGCUUACGUGCUGCUGCGUUCUUCACUCAAUCUUGUGCUGUCUACAAGAUCUACUACCAUGUCUACGCAGGCCUUUUGAAACUUCCUCUGGAGGAGUCUAAAGUGGAAAUUCCCGGCUUACCACCACUUUUGGCUUCAGAUCUGCCUUCUUUUUUUUCUAAUUACGGUUCAUAUCCGCCAAUUUUUCAGAUGGUUGCAUAUGACCAAAUGAAGAACAUCCAUGAAGCUGACUGGAUCUUCUGCAACACAUUUUACAAGUUGGAGGAGGAGGUGAUUGACUGCACAUCCAAGAUCCUACCAAUAAAGACGAUUGGACCAACUAUUCCAUCUAUGUACCUUGACAAGCGCCUUCAAGAUGACAAGCAGUAUGGUCUCAGUCGUUUUAUGCCAAUGACUAAUGAUUGCAUGCCAUGGCUAAACGAAAGAUCAACCAGUUCAGUUGUUUAUGUAUCAUUUGGAAGUUUGGCAGAACUUGAUGCUGAGCAGAUGGAAGAAGUAGCCCAGGGCUUGAGAACUAGCAAUUACUAUUUUCUAUGGGUGGUUAGAGAAUCAGAAUCAAAUAAGCUGCCAAAAGAUUUUGUUAAAGAAACAUCUGAUAGAGGAUUAUUCAUUUCAUGGUGCCCUCAGCUUGAAGUUUUAGCCCACAAAUCUAUAGGGUGCUUUAUCACUCAUUGUGGAUGGAAUUCAACAUUGGAGGCCUUAAGUUUGGGGGUCCCAAUGAUAGGUAUGCCACAAUGGAUCGAUCAAAGUACAAACGCCAAGUUUGUAAUGGACAUCUGGAAAACGGGAAUCAAAGCUCAGCCAGAUGAAACUGGAAUUGUUAGAAGAGAUGUCAUUCAUGAAUGCAUAAGCGUAGUGAUGGAGGGGGAGAAAGGACAAGAGAUUAGGAAAAACGCAGAUAACUGGAAGGAUUUGGCAAGGAAGGCUUUUGAUGACGGGGAAGUUCAGAUAAAAACAUUAAAGACUUUGUAUCCGAAUUGAUUCAGUCUUGAAGAGAUAAUAAAGUUGAUCUGUCUUAUCCAAAUUGAUUCAGACUUGAAGAGAUAAUAAAGUAGAUUUGUCUUCUUCAAUGAUAAUCAAAGGCAACCAGGUGACUGUCACAUGAAUUUUUGACGAAAAGUAACCACACAUUUGUCUGGAUCCACUAGCAACUGCAGUAGAAACGUGGUAUUCCUGGUGCCAUUAAUAUCUAGAAAGUAGACUAUAGCAUAGAGGAUAUAGCACACACUGUCCCAAGUAGUGCACGCAAGUUCAAUUCAAUGUGAAUACUAGAGUUUGCAAUCCUCUAAGGUAGAACCACUGAAUUCUAUAAAAUUUAUUUUGACGUGUAGGGUACCGAAUAACCUAUCUCAAUUUGUAUGCCCUGGUAGAUGAAAUAUGAGGCUUCAAGUUCUAAUAGACUUUGAAAUUAGUUAUGCAGAACAAAAGAUCAUGAGGUCUUCUGCUAUUAUUAAAGAAACAGUUUUCAAGCAUGAACCAUCAUGACAAUGUGGAUGAGUAUUCUCACCAUUCA